This 207-nucleotide unclassified non-coding RNA is filed under the name Hevea brasiliensis (rubber tree). Lineage: Eukaryota; Viridiplantae; Streptophyta; Magnoliopsida; Malpighiales; Euphorbiaceae. The record is from RNAcentral.
GACUAGCAACAACCAUUUCACGGUUUACCCAAAGAUGGAUGAACCAACCAAAACUGUGCAGCUGUGAUGGGAGAACAGAAUAGAUGUGUCCAUAAAAUCGGAACAAUGAUCUUCACUCUCUAAUUUCAUUAUAUAUGGCGGUGUUUUGAUUGGCACAUGACUAGAAGAGCAUGUCAUUAAGAAUAAAAUAAGAAGCUCAAAGUCGAA